This 510-nucleotide ribosomal RNA is filed under the name uncultured bacterium. RNAcentral's name for it is "bacterial SSU rRNA". It matches the Rfam family "Bacterial small subunit ribosomal RNA", at positions 19 to 518 of the family's 1533-position model. The record is from RNAcentral.
CUGGCUCAGGAUGAACGCUAGCUACAGGCUUAACACAUGCAAGUCGAGGGGCAUCAUGGAGUUGCUUGCAAACUCUGAUGGCGACCGGCGCACGGGUGAGUAACGCGUAUCCAACCUUCCCUAUAGUAGAGGAUAGCCCGGCGAAAGUCGGAUUAAUACUCUAUGUUUUCCGUUGCAGACAUCUAAGAUGGAACAAAGGCUUGCCGCUAUAGGAUGGGGAUGCGUCUGAUUAGGUAGUCGGCGGGGUAACGGCCCACCGAGCCAUCGAUCAGUAGGGGUUCUGAGAGGAAGGUCCCCCACAUUGGAACUGAGACACGGUCCAAACUCCUACGGGAGGCAGCAGUGAGGAAUAUUGGUCAAUGGGCGAGAGCCUGAACCAGCCAAGUAAGCGUGCAGGACGACGGCCCUAUGGGUUGUAAACUGCUUUUAUGCGGGGAUAAAGUUCACUACGUGUAGUGUUUUGUAGGUACCGCAUGAAUAAGGACCGGCUAAUUCCGUGCCAGCCGCGGC